Molecule: transfer RNA, 85 nt
Filed under: Chloroflexota bacterium
Lineage: Bacteria; Bacillati; Chloroflexota
Also listed under: 1 other name
Description: Chloroflexi bacterium tRNA-Tyr
Rfam family: tRNA
About the family: Transfer RNA (tRNA) molecules are approximately 80 nucleotides in length.
Source: RNAcentral
GCAGGGGUGGGUGAGCGGUUAAUACCACCAGACUGUAAAUCUGGCGCCCGAAAGGGCUACGUAGGUUCGAAUCCUACCCCCUGCA